AAGAAUCUACUAGUUUACCAUUUCCUAUAGUAGAUCUUUUUCAAAGGUUUGUUUUUCUUAUGCAUCUUUAGUACUUAGGUUCUCUCCUUUUUUGAAAGUGCAGACUGUUUUCACAAAUACCAUGCUUAUUUUUGUUUGGUUUUGUUUUUCUUGUCCUUGGAUGAACAGAGUAUGUUCUUGUAUGACAUGUGCCUGCUAACAGUUGUUGGUGAUUUCUCUUGGGUUCUCUUCAUUGUCCAUUUGACAGAUUUUGGUGGAUCCUCAGAUUUUAAACUGGAGACAAGUGUUGUUGGUGUUCUGAGUCUCUGAAAUUCCUGGUUUUUUAUGUAGGGAGGUCUUUUAUGUAGGAGUCCUUUAUGUAGGGAUGUUCGUCCGGCUUUGGAGAGCUCUAUUUCCUGGUCUAACUGCAUUAUAUUGCUGUGAGUUGGGGAUUAAAUUCCUGGGUAAUUGAAGCAGUCUUUAGUUUUUUUCCUUUGCCCUAAACAGUGAAUAAUGAUCAAUAACCUUCCCACUGCUUCCAGAUCUCUCAGCCUUCGACCUCUACAGUUUCAUUAAUGCCCCUGGAGAUUAAGCAUCACAUUUUGAUAAAUUUCCCAUCCUAGCCACAGUCUGUUUUACAUUUCCUACAGUCAUUGUCUUGCGAUGUGCUAUAGUUUGGACGUCUGUUCCCUAAAACCUCAUGUUGAAGUUUGAUCCCCAAUGUUGAAGGUGGGGCUUAAUGGGAGGUGUUUGGGUCAUGGAGGUAGAUUCUUCAUGAAGGGUUUAUUGCACCUUUGCACUAAUGAGUGAGUUCCUGCUAUAUUGGUUCCUGGUUGUUAAAAAGAGUUGGCACUUAUCCCCUCUCUCUCUUGCCUCCUCUCUCACCAUGUAAUCUCUGGACAUACCAGCUCCCCUUUGCCUUCAGCUAUGAGUGGAAGAAGUCUGAGGCUCUCACCAGAAGCAGAUGCUGACAUCAUGCUUUUUGUACAGCCUGCAGAACUGCAACACAAAAGAGGACCCAAAGCACCAUGGGCAAAUCAUGGAAGAAGAACUGGAAUGCAUAUCUAGUCCACUAUCUGAGCCAAAGACUUCAGCUGGAGAAAGGGAAGACAAGGGUUUAACUGGCAAUUCAAAGGGAGGUGAUCAGCCUUCUGUUACAGAGCUAACUCUGUGUGAAAGGUAAGGAGGCCGUCAUACUGCCCCCUUUGCCUCAUUUACACAAAUAAGUUUAGUUCACUUCUUUACACUGAAAGGUCUACUUCACUAAGGGAUUUUGACUUUAAACUAGAUGAAGGGAUUUCUUAUUCCUGAUCUCUUUUUCUUGUGCUCUGCCUCUGCCGCUCUUUUGCUUCAGCUCAUUUUUUAGUCUGUUCUUUUCUCUCUUUGAAGGUUUCUUAGUAAAAGAGUGUUUGAAUUUUAGCUAUUUUCUCCUCCAACAUGAUCCGGCUAUAUUUUGUCCUCUGUCCAGGAGGCUUUAGACACUGUCUGUAACCAGUGCUGCUCCCGACACAGCUCCACUGCCACCACUAAGAAAGUCAGGAGGCACAGCAGCAGAAUUGGCCCUCCAAAAGCAACAACAGAAAUGCAUUUCUGUACCUAGAGUCUUUACUUUUUAUCCAAGAUUAUUCUAAUUUUUGAAUGAUUUACAUUUCAAACAGUAAUAUUGUAUUUUUCUCAGUUCAUGUGUGCGUGUGCAUGUUUAGUGUAUACUAUGUCAGAAAAAUCAGCUAACACUAAGUCAUGAUGGAAUGUGGAAAAAGGGAUAAUGAUCAUGGAAAUGGCACUGUUUCAAACUGUGUUAUGAUCUUUGCCUUUCUACAUCCUUUGCAAAGGCAGGGAGGGCUGCGCUCUCACAGAGCCAUUUGUGUGCAUCUGUAUGGGAGUGUGUGUAAGUGUGAGGGUGGCAGAGGUUGGGCAUGAGUAUACACAGAAGCAAGGUGCAAAAUAGCUUGAGCUCAGUUUAGGAAAACUUGGGAUAGUUCUAGUUUAAACUAUAAAACGUCGAGUCCAGAAACCACCUUCAACUUUGAAUAUGCUCUCACUACAAAGAAGAAAAAGAAAUGAGAUCAAAUGUCAUAUAUAGCUCAGAUCUCAUUUCCAAAAAUCACAUCUCAUAGUUUUUUGUUUUUUGUUUAUCCUGAAUGUAUACCGUGUAUUUGGCUCUUUUUAAGUACUAAUGGUUUUUUAAAGAGUUGCUUAUAUUAUCUUUGAAACCCCACUUAGCUGAAGGGUAUAAUGCAGAAGGAAUCUGUUAUGCUUUGGGUUGCUGAAAUCGGGGAAGCAAGGUUUUUAAAAUGGAGUAUUUAUUAAAAAAGCAAAAACAAAACCUUUCAGGUCCUUUUAUGUGUCUUGGCCUUUUACUGACUAGCACCCAUGUUUUGUGUUUCUGAUGCAUACUACCCAUCAUGAAUAACAGAUGUUGGGAGAUUAUUGCAGCCAUGGAGAGUAACUGACAUUGGGAUAGCCCACUCACCAUAAACAGCUAUCAAACUGGGCACAAUAUAUGAGACAACUGUUUAGACAUUUGACAAGAAGCAACACAGGGCUGUGGUCUUAGAAAGGAAACACACAUAGUAAGCUCAGUGAUCACCAUGACUUUCUCUGCCUGGAGGCAGUUUCCAGUUUGCAAAGCAGGAAGGUGGAUCCCAAACAGAGCUUGAUGGUCUUGCUGAAUUUAGGAGGUGGAGAUUGUAGUACAGGGUUGUUGGGUGGAUUGGAAUUUUUAAGGCCAAAGACUACAGAGAAAGGAAUUAUGCAAAAAUGAAAUCUUCCUAGAAAUUGUUUUUAAGUUUUUUGCUAAAUAUUAAGCUGUAAGUGUACAAGAAAAGAGGCAACGAGGCUAGGGAACUGUGAAAGUAAAUAUAGAUUCUAGAGGAUGCACAUUUCUUAAGAGGUGGGGUCAUGACAAGUUUUGCUAAACACAAUAGACAUUCAGUUUAGUUCCUAAAAGUUACAUAUUGGGAAUAGGGCUACCUUAGACUUAGAAUAAGAAAUAAUAUGGACCUCUUUUAGCAAUCAAGUUGAUACACUAUUAAAUAAAUUUCCUGCCACAAUAACACUCAGUUCGCUUUAAGUAAAGAUUUAAAAACAAUUCUGACUCUCAACAACAUAGUGCCUGUAAUGUUUAGCAUAACAUAAAAUAUUACUGAGUGGCAUAGAAACAAGAAAUUGGGUGAUCCGUAACCAGGGGGAAAUAAAAUAUAAUAUAGACAGAUACAGAGACAAAAGAUGUUGGAAUUAGCAAAGAAUUUAAAAUAACAAUUUAAAUUAUGUGUAGGAAUUUAAAGGAAAGGAUGAACAUGAUAAAUAGAUAGAUGGAAAAUUCCAACAGAGAAAUAAAAACUUUAAGAAAUGGAAAUUCUAGAACUGAAAAAUGCAAUAACUGAAAUGAAAAAUUGAUAAUUUAUUCCUCAUAAAUAUUAAAAAUUUCUGCUCAUCAAAAACCUAAAUGGAAGAAAGUAUUUGUGCAUAUAUAUCUGAUUAUGGACUUAUGCCAGAUUAUGUAAAGAACUUUCAUAAAUCAGUUUAAAAAACCCCAAACAACACUAUUUUUAAUAAAUGGACGGAAGUCUUGAACAGGUACUUACAAAGGGAGACAAAUGUCACAUAAAAACAUGUUCAACAUCACUAGUCAUUAGGCUUAUGAGAAUUGAAACCACAAUGAGAUAUUAGUACAUACUUAGAUAAAUUUUAAAAUGCUGAAAAAAAUAAUAUGUUGAUACUGACAUGUAUUUAUAGCAACCAGAAACCUCAUAUGUUGGAAGAAGUGCAAAACUGAUACAUCUAAUUUGGAGCUCCAUUUGGCAGAUCUUUUAAAGUUACAGUUACCUACCCUAUGAUUCAGCAAUUCUACUCUUAGGUAUUUAUCCAACAAAAAUAAAAACAUACAUUGAAAAAUACUCGUUCAAUAAUGUUCAUAGAAGUUUCAUUUAUAAUAACCUGAAAUUAGAAACAAUUCAAAUGUUCGUUGAUGAGUGAAUGCCUAAUCGAUUUGAAUAGAGGCAAUGAAAUAUUACUCAGCAGUGAAAUAAAAGAACUACUGUACAUGUAAACACAUGAAUUACUUUGAAAACCAUUAUGCUGAAUGACAGAAGUCAAUCACAAAAGUGUCUAUUUCCACGUUUUAGUGUAAUUUUAGAGAAGACAAAACUGAUCUAUGGUAUGAGAAAUCAGAACAGUGGUUGCUUCUUGUGGAAAGAGGGUUGAUAGGGGAACACAAUGAGUGGGUAGGAGUUUCUGGGAUGAUAGAAAUGUUCCUUAUUAUAAUAGAUUUGUGGGUUACACAAGUGAGUGUAUCCACUGCUCAAAAUGCAUCAAAUUGUCACAUAGGUCUGUGUGCAUUUUAUUGUAUGAAAAUUAUACCUCAAUUUAAGAUUGAGGUACAUGUGGCAUCAUUCAAUUAUUUUUAUUUUCUUUGUGAUUUCAGAUAAACUUUGCAGUUGUCUAUUUGUGCCUAUAGUUUGAAAUCUGUAAGCUAAAUAGGAUAUUUUAAUUUUUGUAAGUUUCUCUUAACAAUAUGUCACUCUACAAAUGAUUUAUUUCAAGUCUUGGGUAUGUCUAAUAGAGACACAAACACAUUUUUCUGGCCCACCUAAUUAUAAGAUAGUAAAUAGCUGUCUCACAACAUAAAUGUAGAUGACAAUGUAUUAUUGCCCUAGCAUAAGCUCAAAGAAAUUAGUCUUACAUGCUAGAAAAUGGUCAGGAUCUAGUGGGCUGCAUUAGAAAAUGUGCACUCACAUAUAUAGUCACUCAACAAGAGCCCUACAAAAUUGCCAAGGGUCACACUUCUGGCAUUUUCAUUUCCGAUCACUUUAGCAAUUUUUACCUAUGACUUCUGUUUCAACAAAUGCUCCCACCGUUUUCUUGGAUGGGGACAAGGGGUACAGUCUUAAAAGACAAAUCUGACCUAAGAAUUUUGCCAGAGAGGAGAGAAAAGAAAGAAACUAAGAAUGAGACUGUUAAAAAAAAUUCUUUUAAGUAUACAGUAAAAGGACAAAAAAAAAAAAAAAUCAAAAAAGAAUCAAAAGUACAGGUUGGUGCUACAAGGCAGGGAUGAGUGACACCUAACCCCUACCAUGCCAUGGCAAACUAUACAAAUGUGUCUCAUUGCUGCACCAUUUCUGGGGAUAGUAGUUUUGCCCACUCUUUAGUCUCCAAGUGUUUCCAUUAUAGCUCCCUAUUUUUAGGAGUUAAUAGCUAGGCUAUAAUAAUUUGCUUCAGGCUGGCAUACCAGGUCUCAGUCAGGGAGUACAUUUACAGUAAUAGAAUACAGUGUAUUUCAGAUGCUUUUACUGUGUAUGUGUGUGUGUCUGUGUAUGUGUGCAUGCUCCUGUAAU
RNAcentral lists this long non-coding RNA (5315 nucleotides) under Papio anubis (olive baboon). Its description in RNAcentral is "lncRNA (ENSPANG00000041336.1)". Lineage: Eukaryota; Metazoa; Chordata; Mammalia; Primates; Cercopithecidae. The record is from RNAcentral.